Molecule: ribosomal RNA, 254 nt
Filed under: uncultured prokaryote
Description: partial 16S ribosomal RNA
Rfam family: Bacterial small subunit ribosomal RNA
Source: RNAcentral
GACGAACCGUGCAAACGUUAUUCGGAAUCACUGGGCAUAAAGGGCGCGUAGGCGGCUCCAAAAGUCAGGGGUGAAAUCCGGCAGCUUAACUGUCGCAGUGCCUUUGAUACUGUGGAGCUAGAGGGAUGUAGGGGUCUGUGGAACUUCCGGUGGAGCGGUGAAAUGCGUUGAUAUCGGAAGGAACGCCGGUGGCGAAAGCGACGGACUGGACAUUUUCUGACGCUGAGGCGCGAAAGCCAGGGGAGCAAACGGGA